Fukomys damarensis (Damara mole-rat) is the source of this 951-nucleotide long non-coding RNA. RefSeq lists it as uncharacterized. Lineage: Eukaryota; Metazoa; Chordata; Mammalia; Rodentia; Bathyergidae. The transcript has 3 exons. The record is from RefSeq and is a predicted model, not a curated record.
UACCUUCCCUCCUGGCCGUCACCAGAAGUCUCGCCAAAUCUCGCUGUCCACAGGCAAAGGGCGGCACUGAUAAGAGCAGGUGAUCGAGGGUGAGGAAGGCCUCCAUGUGGCCCUCGACUGCCCUCUUAUUGGCAUCUCAAGGGCUCCUUAAAAGAAUCAGGUCACCCCGACCUCAAGGCAGUGCUGCUAUCUGGAAGGCCAAAGGAAAAACAAAGAAUCACGCAUGCCCUGUUUUCCAACCUGCUGAGAAAAUCUGCCCUCCAUCAGCUGAUUAUUAGACAGCAAACAGAGAGCCCGACGAUGUUCUUAACAGGUUCCUACCUGGGCUGCAGCCUCCUUGCAGGCAGUGUCCUCUACCAAGUACAUGUCCGACCACAGAAUGACCUGGGUCAGGAACCUGGAAUUCGCCUGUCUCUCCCUUUCUCUCACUAAAAGGAGGAAACACAGUGCCGAGGAUGAAACCCAGGGCCUCCCACAGGCUAAGCAAGCGCUCUGCCACUGACCUGCACACCCGGCCCUUCAACCUCAUUUAUAAGGUUACUAAUCCCAUUCAUUAGGACCGUUUCAUAAUUUAAUUGCUCCCCAAGUCCACACCUCUUAACACUGUCACACUGGCAAUUAUGUCUCCACAUACGAAUCUCGGGGGACACAUUCGGACCAUAGCAACCCCAGUGCUAACGCAUGCUGAAGUAAUCCUCAAGUCCCACGCUCUCUUUCUCUCCGCUUCUCCACCUCCACUGGCACCGCCCCCGGUUAGGCAUUGUACCUGACUGUCCUCGUCCACAGUAUUGCUCCAUCCUCCUACAUUAUUACCUCCCUGUCUCGAUUUCGCCUGCUUCCUUCUAACCCUCACUCUCAUGACUGAUCGAGCUGGAAUUCGACGCCCAUCAGAUCAUGGCACGCUUCCGCUCCAAGCUCUUUAUUGGGCUGGCGUGGUGGUGCACGCGUGUG